Cydia fagiglandana is the source of this 1020-nucleotide long non-coding RNA. RefSeq lists it as uncharacterized. The transcript has 3 exons. NCBI's taxonomy places the organism in Eukaryota, Metazoa, Arthropoda, Insecta, Lepidoptera, Tortricidae. The record is from RefSeq and is a predicted model, not a curated record.
CACUGGUGACAGAUGACACACAAACAUGUUACAUGUAUUGUGCAUUGAUUGACGGGUAAAACCAUGGUAAAACCAAAACUUUGUGCUUUACCAGUCUGAAAUUAAGUUUAAUUUUCAGUAAAGGGUCUAAAUGUUUGUGACUAACCUAAGCCCUCCUACGUGUACACGCUCGACGCAGCUAGCCAACUUUAUUGUCACGCGUGCAAUAGAGUACCUAUUAUAGGCCAAGUUCGGCCUGGCCAGCCAGGGUUCACGCUAGACAACGUCAACGAUUUAUUUGGGGUCGCCGUCAUCGAAAACGAUGAGGAGGAGGAGGACUAUACUUACUAACGAUGACACGGCACCGCCGCGUAAAACAAACCUAUGCCGAAAAUCAUAGUUUCAAGUAUUUUGAAUGCUGUAGCCAGAAGACUGCCAGACAAAUGUGGAUUAAUAAGGUUGUGGAGAUAAAAAAAAAUACAUCCACACUACAGCAUCCGAAAUCUCAAAAUCAUUUGCUUCUAUAUCGAAGAGCUCUCUGGAUUUUUUUGAUGACUUUCCGGUCACUUAUCUUGACAUAAAUGCUGAAGGAAUUAAUUAUGUCACUUUAAAAGGAGACGAAGAGCAGGACGGUAUUAUAAAACAAAGUUAAACAUCACGGCCCGAAGACCACCCAAAUGAUGAAAAUGUAUUAACUAGGUUCAGUUCUUUUCAAAUUUGUAUUAAGGGGAGAAAAUCCAAAAUUAAAAUUCAGAUAAAAACUUUAAUGUUUUAAGAAAUUGUAAGUCAUUUCAAGUUUUAGACAUUUUGAAACAAAAAAAUGUUUUGAGAAGAAUGUGUUUGACAGAUGGUAAAGCUGCGAGGAAUGUGUUUGUAAGAACCAAUACAAAUUGUCCUCCAGGACUGCGCUGAGUGAGGAUAGGUAAUUGAAGUAAUUCUAAUAUUCACUCUAAAGAAACAAAUCUACCUCUCUACGCAUCCUUGCACAUCUCUGAUGGAAUCAUGGUCCUUGCUAAUCUUUGGUGGAAUACCUCAUAGCCU